RNAcentral lists this ribosomal RNA (459 nucleotides) under uncultured bacterium. RNAcentral's name for it is "partial 16S ribosomal RNA". It matches the Rfam family "Bacterial small subunit ribosomal RNA", at positions 339 to 795 of the family's 1533-position model. The record is from RNAcentral.
CCUCGGGUGGCAGCAGUGAGGAAUAUUGGUCAAUGGGCGCGCGCCUGAACCAGCCAAGUAGCGUGAAGGAUGACUGCCCUACGGGUUGUACACUUCUUUUAUAAAGGAAUAAUGUGAGGCACGUGUGCCUUUUUGUAUGUACUUUAUGAAUAAGGAUCGGCUAAUUCCGUGCCAGCAGCUGCGGUAAUACGGAGGAUCCGAGCGUUAUCCGGAUUUAUUGUGUUUAAAGGGAGCGUAGAUGGGUUAUUAAUGCAGUUGUGAAAGUUUGCGGCUCAACCGUAAAAUUGCAAUUGAUACUGGCAGCCUUGAGUAGAGUUGAGGUAGGCGGAAUUCGUGGUGUAGCGGUGAAAUGCUGAGAUAUCACGAAGAACUCCGAUUGCGAAGACAGCCUACUAAACUGCCACUGACAUUGAUGCUCGAAAGUGUGGGUAUCAAACAGGAUUAGAUACCCGAGUAGUC